This 505-nucleotide ribosomal RNA is filed under the name uncultured Verrucomicrobiaceae bacterium. Its description in RNAcentral is "bacterial SSU rRNA". It matches the Rfam family "Bacterial small subunit ribosomal RNA", at positions 523 to 1026 of the family's 1533-position model. Lineage: Bacteria; Pseudomonadati; Verrucomicrobiota; Verrucomicrobiia; Verrucomicrobiales; Verrucomicrobiaceae. The record is from RNAcentral.
AUACGGAGGGGGUUAGCGUUGUUCGGAAUUACUGGGCGUAAAGCGCGCGUAGGCGGACUAGAAAGUUGGGGGUGAAAGCCCGGGGCUCAACCUCGGAACUGCAUUCGAUACUCCCGUGCUAGAGUAAUGGAGAGGUAAGUGGAAUUCCUGGUGUAGCAGUGAAAUGCGUGGAUAUCAGGAGGAACAUCAAUGGCGAAGGCAACUUACUGGACAUUUACUGACGCUCAGACACGAAGGCUAGGGUAGCGAAAGGGAUUAGAUACCCCUGUAGUCCUAGCAGUAAACGGUGCUCGCUUGGUGUGGGAGGAUUCGACCCCUUCUGUGCCGGAGCUAACGCGUUAAGCGAGCCGCCUGGGAAGUACGGUCGCAAGACUAAAACUCAAAGAAAUUGACGGGGACCCGCACAAGCGGUGGAGUAUGUGGCUUAAUUCGAUGCAACGCGAAGAACCUUACCUACUCUUGACAUACUAGAAACUUUUCAGAGAUGAAUUGGUGCCUUCGGGAA